UCUAUCCUUUAUGUAUCGAUCUCUAUAUAUAUACUCAGAACCUUGCAUGACAAGGUAUUCUAUGCACAAGAAUACUGACUCUUCUAACUCAAAAACUAAAACCAUUAUCCACGCCUAACGCCCUAACUGUUUGGGAUAAUAUAACGAUUCUCCUAUAAACGUCAGGAGUAUUUAAGGGUUUUUUACCACAUGAAGAAAACACCGCUUCCCAUUCUCUGGCGGUAGAAAGAGAUAGACAGAUAGUGCAAGACGGAGGGAGAGAUUGAGCGCGCGAGGGAGGUAGAGAGAGGCGCGGCGGUCAUGGAGGAACUGGCUAUGGUCUCCGGCCGACGGUAAUGUUGUCGAUCGUCGCUGAAUGGGAACUUGACGGCCGGGGGUUCUAGGGUUCCGGCGGCGGUGCCGGAACCGACCUACAUCUGCCGCUCACUACCAUCGGUAGGUUACACACAUGUCAGCGCCCACCUAUAGCCUUAAUACCACCGAUAACCGCCGCCCUGCCCCAAAUCCAGGUCCGGCGACAAAGAAAGCAUUACUUCCCUAAACCGCAAGAGGCAACGACUUCGUCCCCCACAUUGGUUAACCACCAUCGUCACCACAAUCACCGUCACUCACCUCUUGCAAAACCCUAUCCUUGCUCAACACCAUCUAUUGGCCCUAAUUGAACACUACUGCGUCGAAUCGUCGUAACCGAAUAUAACAUCAGGUACUUUUUCUUCUCUCGCUUUAUGUUACUCUUCUUGAAUGGAUGGAGAUAAUGAUGUUAGAGGCCGGUCUCCCUGCCCUUCUUGUUAUUUUAAAAUUGAUACCCCUUUGCUUUGUUCCCAUAUAUGCACAGGAAGGAUACUAUUUCUAACUGAAAAACGCGGUAAUGAUUUCCUAUAUUAUUAUUAUUAUCUUUUUAAAGAUGCGUUCAUAGUCUCAAAUGAAGCAUUUAGUUUUCUGCAAUCAAUUGUUUAUCUGGGAUUAAGUUGUUUGUCUUGGUUUGUCCAAUAUGUGAUGCAAAUUUGGGCAAAGAUGCACUUACUCAUUUCACAUCCCACCAUGCCCAUUCGAUUUUUGACACUUUAUCAAUCUGGUGACGCUGAAGGAAGGUCUGAUGUUACCCCGUUAAGUAUCUUGAUGAGACUGAUAGUUGCUUUAAAAAUGAAUUUAAUCACAAAUAAAACUUAUGUUUGUAUUUCGAUAUUCCAUAUAUGUCGUUUGUGUUUGAAAAAAAUAGUUAUAAAAAUUGGUGUUCUAUUCAUGAAUCGUUCGAUUUUGUUUUGGCCUUUUAGUAUAUGAAAGGGAUACUUAUGUGGAUAUACAGAACGAUUAGUCAGAAAUAAGAAUGUAUAUGGUUUCAGUUUUAACUAUAGCUACUGUUUCUAGACGCGAGAAAGGGUUCUUAAUAGUUUUUUACUUCAGUUUGGUUUCUGCAAUUGAACUGCUCUACAACGAUGAACUUUUGGGUUUUAACAUUCAAUUUCAGUUCAAUAAUACUUUAGGAAUUAGGAAGGUCUCAUUAUACCUUCUACUUCCAGGUAGGGACUAGGGACCGCAAUUGUUAUGUACUAUUAAAUUCUUUUUUUAAUAAGCUUUUGUUAUAUAUAUGAAACAUCAUUGCCUUAGCGCCAGUGUAGCUUUUAGAGUUUUUGGGUUUGACCACUAAGCUUUUCCUUUACAUUUUGCCAUGUUACAUGUGGUUUCUUUCGGGCCACAAAACAAAGCGAGAGAACCGAGUAGAGUAUUCACAUGAGAGAGAGAGAGAGAGAGAAUCGGCGAUAGAAAUGAUGGAAUCCGGUCGGCGGCUUAACCUGCGCGUGAACUUCUUUAAUCGAGAUAUAUGAUGUAUGCCCCUUGAACAUGAUGUAUGAUGCUUGAGUUUUAUAAGGGUUGUCAAUGAAGAACUAUGUCUCUUCAUGGUGUCUGUCAGCGUAAGGAACCAACCUGAACCACUGGAGUAGUGGUGGUGGAUGCUUAGGAGGUGUUUGGUUGGAGUCAACUGGUCAUCGCUGUUAACAGAAGUUAAAACAUGUGUCAAGUGGUCAAAGGCAGAGGAGUGAUACACGCCUCGGUUUUGAAAGAGCUUCGUAUCGGUAUGGUAUUCAGCUAUGGUGGAAAAUAUGGGGAAAGUAUGCCAGGAUCGAUUUUUUACAAGAUAAGGAAUGUUUUUUUUUUUAGUUAUUUUAUAUUAGUGAAAUAUUGAUUUAAAGUUAGUCAAAUGUAGAUAUUUAGAGUUUUCUCGAUGAAUUUUGUCAACCAGCCUCAUAUCAUGAAUGAGAAUGUUAUAUUGUUA
Molecule: long non-coding RNA, 2275 nt
Organism: Helianthus annuus (common sunflower)
Lineage: Eukaryota; Viridiplantae; Streptophyta; Magnoliopsida; Asterales; Asteraceae
Exons: 2
Source: RefSeq, a predicted model, not a curated record